UCCUACUGUCAGUCACUAUAGUUUGAUCUGUCCUUCACAUUUUGUAAAAACAGAGCCAUAUAUUACUAAUGACAUUUUUUACUUAGCAUAAAGUUUUCAAAACUUUUUCACGAUGAAAUGUGAUUGAAUAAUAAUCUUCUGUUGCAUGGAUGCAUAUAAGGAACUGGAAUUAUCCCAUUAUGUGCUCCUCUCUGCUGAAGAAAGCAGAAGAAAUGCCCCGUUUCUACGUCUACUCACUCAGGAACUUGGCACCAAAUGAUUGGCAGUAUGAGGGCAACCAGCCUCAGGUCUCUUCUGCCUGACCUUCUCCAUAGGGAACUCUCUGUUUGGUCAAGACUGGUGCAGCCAGAACUCCAAAGUUCUUGGCAGUACCACAUCACAGGUGGAGCUCCAUGACAUCAUUGGGUGCUGCACAGUAGAGUGUCUUAGCCACACCUGCUCAGAAUGCAGCCUCAAAGUCGCCGCAACUGGAUGGGAAAUAACUUCCCAUCUGCACUUCUCUGGAAGAGAAAAAGGGAAGAAACCAGGGUUCAUGUCUACACCACUCCUUGAGUGGAGCAGAGGGGCACGGGAGGCUGCAGUUCGUGGCUUACAUAGCACAGAUUUGCCUGCUCUUUAUCAGAACGUAGUUGGUUUUGAGAGAAAUACUUCUUAAUUUACAUUAUGUCUAUAGGACCAUUUUCACAAAUCUUGGGUUAGUUUUGUUUAGUUUUGAUUUCUUUUCAAAAAUGUUUUAUUAGGAGGAAGACUUCCCAACACCUCCCCUUGUCAUUCUAGAGAACUCCUGGCCUCUUCAGUUUUAUCUUUUCAAUUACACUGAGUCAGUUUCAUUAAUGAAAAGCUGACCCAACAAUACACCAUAUUCCAAGAUUUUAUAUGGUAACAAUAUAUUUCAGGAUACUAAUUACUACAUUAAUG
Molecule: long non-coding RNA, 918 nt
Organism: Peromyscus eremicus (cactus mouse)
Lineage: Eukaryota; Metazoa; Chordata; Mammalia; Rodentia; Cricetidae
Exons: 4
Source: RefSeq, a predicted model, not a curated record